GAGUUUGAUCCUGGCUCAGAUUGAACGCUGGCGGUAGGCUUAACACAUGCAAGUCGUGCGAGAAAGUAUCUUCGGAUAUGAGUAGAGCGGCGGACGGGUGAGUAACGCGUAGGAAUCUACCUAGUAGAAGGGGAUAGCCCGAGGAAACUCGGAUUAAUACCGUAUACCUCCUUCGGGAGAAAGAAGGCCUCUCUUUGAAGCUUUCGCUACUAGAUGAGCCUGCGUAAGAUUAGCUUGUUGGUGAGGUAAAGGCUCACCAAGGCUACGAUCUUUAGCGGGUCUGAGAGGACGAUCCGCCACAUUGGGACUGAGACACGGCCCAGACUCCUACGGGAGGCAGCAGUGGGGAAUAUUGGACAAUGGGCGCAAGCCUGAUCCAGCCAUACCGCGUGUGUGAAGAAGGCCCUAGGGUUGUAAAGCACUUUAAGUUGGGAAGAAAAGUUAUUGGCUAAUACCCAAUGACCGUGACAUUACCAUCAGAAUAAGGACCGGCUAAUUCCGUGCCAGCAGCCGCGGUAAUACGGAAGGUCCAAGCGUUAAUCGGAAUUACUGGGCGUAAAGCGCGCGUAGGUGGUUUAUUAAGUUGGAUGUGAAAUCCCCGGGCUCAACCUGGGAACUGCAUCCAAAACUGAUUCACUAGAGUACGAUAGAGGGAGGUAGAAUUCACAGUGUAGCGGUGGAAUGCGUAGAUAUUGUGAAGAAUGCCAAUGGCGAAGGCAGCCUCCUGGAUCUGUACUGACACUGAGGUGCGAAACGUGGGGUAGCGAACAGGAUUAGAUACCCUGGUAGUCCACGCCGUAAACGAUGUCAACUAGCUGUUGGAAAGCAUUGCUUUUCAGUGGCGCACGUAACGUAUAAAGUUG
RNAcentral lists this ribosomal RNA (863 nucleotides) under uncultured Gammaproteobacteria bacterium. Its description in RNAcentral is "bacterial SSU rRNA". It matches the Rfam family "Bacterial small subunit ribosomal RNA", at positions 9 to 867 of the family's 1533-position model. The record is from RNAcentral. Lineage: Bacteria; Pseudomonadati; Pseudomonadota; Gammaproteobacteria.